ACAAGGUNUNNNUAGGUGAACCUGCGGAAGGAUCAUUUCUGAAGGCUUUUUGCCAAAACCACUGUGAACAGCUUAGACUUCGGUCUUUGCAAUUGCUUGGGUGUCGAAAGGCGCCCAAUCUUUAAAACUUUUAUAUUUGUUCUGAAACAAUGAAAAUUUAAAACUUUCAACAACGGAUCUCUUGGUUCUCGUAUCGAUGAAGAACGCAGCAAAGCGCGAUAGGUAAUGCGAAUUGCAGACGUGAGUCAUUGAAUUUUUGAACGCAUAUUGCGCUAUUAGUUUGUCUAAUAGCAUGCUUGUUGGAGUGAUAAUCUUCCUCUCAACCAUUUUUGGUAUGAGGUCUUGCUCCUUUUAGGAGUUAAAAUCAUGGAAGUGCACACGUUAAUUAACUCUGUGCAGUUAUACACUUUUCAUCCUCCAAUCAAGCAAGGUUACCCGCUGAACUUAAGCAUAUNNNNNA
Molecule: ribosomal RNA, 460 nt
Filed under: Starmerella bacillaris
Lineage: Eukaryota; Fungi; Ascomycota; Dipodascomycetes; Dipodascales; Trichomonascaceae
Description: eukaryotic LSU rRNA
Rfam family: 5.8S ribosomal RNA (bases 162-310)
Source: RNAcentral